ACAUCUCUUGGCGGUGGAUCACUCGGCUCGGACGUCGAUGAAGAACGCAGCG
This 52-nucleotide ribosomal RNA is filed under the name uncultured eukaryote. RNAcentral describes it as "partial 5.8S ribosomal RNA". It matches the Rfam family "5.8S ribosomal RNA", at positions 1 to 50 of the family's 154-position model. From Rfam's summary of the family: 5.8S ribosomal RNA (5.8S rRNA) is a component of the large subunit of the eukaryotic ribosome. The record is from RNAcentral.